GCAGCUGCUCAGCCAGAAUCACAUUUCCCAGCCUUCCCUGAAUCUGAAUAAGGACAUAUGACCGGUUCUUUCAUGUAGAAUGGGAGUAGAAGGCAUGCGCACUUUCAGAGCAAAGGCUUUCGGAAACAGCUCUGCUUCUACCGUGCCUCUGUUCCAUUCCAUCAGCUCGAUGCAGACAAUGAGGCCUUAGAGGACAAUGGGAUCAGAAGAGAAAAAGGAUGCAGUCCCCACAGGAGAGCUGCCCAUCAACCAGAAGAACUAGGGAUCAGCCUCCAUUGCAUGGAUGCACUGCGGGCCAGUUGUUUACAGCAGUCUCGUCACCAGGUUAGAAAUCGCACCCCAGUGGUCACACAGAACAUCCAUCUUUUUGCUUCUAUUUUUGCAGCUGUUCACUAGUCCAUUGGAAAGGUGGCUCACGGUUGCUUCAGACUGCCUGUCUCUAGGAUAUUGAAGUGGCUUCCAGCUUUUUGUCGCUCGAAACGAUGCUGCUGUGGCUAGAAGUAUACAUAGAUCAUUUCGUGGAAUGCAUCAGCUACUCAUGUGAAUAUUGGCCCUACUACACCUCAGGAAGUAGAAUUCGAUGACUGAACACGACAUUUUCAGAGAGUACAGGAGAUGAGUCUGUUAGGCUGGAAUUCCCACUGCAAUGAUGAGUGAUGAUUGUUACUAUGACUCGGCUGAGGCCAUGCUGCACCCUGGAACGAUCCCUUAUGGUUUCAGAGGCUUGCUGAAUAUCAGGUGCCAG
This is a non-coding RNA of Macaca mulatta (Rhesus monkey), 745 nucleotides long. NCBI's taxonomy places the organism in Eukaryota, Metazoa, Chordata, Mammalia, Primates, Cercopithecidae. The record is from RefSeq and is a predicted model, not a curated record.